AACCAUAGAAACCUGCGGAGUACCUGCGGAAGGAUCAUUAAAGAGUUGAAAAACUCACCCAAAACCACCGUGAACAUACCUUAUAAUGUUGCCUCGGCAGGCGGCCCCAGGGCGGGGCCGUGGCCUGGAAUAAUGGUGCCUGCCGGGGGUUUUUAAAACUUCUGUUAUUUCUAGUCAGCUUCUGAGUCGGGAAAAACAAACCCAGUCAAAACUUUUAACAACGGAUCUCAGAUCGGAAGA
Molecule: unclassified non-coding RNA, 240 nt
Filed under: soil metagenome
Description: partial contains 5.8S ribosomal RNA, internal transcribed spacer 2, and large subunit ribosomal RNA
Source: RNAcentral